AGAGGGAGAGAGGAAGAGGACAAUGAUUCUUCUAAAAUAUGUGCCUGGUUCAACAAGAUGAAAGAGACAUGUAAAGAAGAAUUCACCAACCCCUGUGACUGAAUUUGAGCGAUAAUGUCAAUGGAAUUAACACAUUGCCAUUGUUGAAUGGUCUCCUGUGGCUAUAUAAACAUCAAGCCCCAGCCAUUGCUGCAGAUCCUUCCUCUCUUUGUCCCUUCGGACAUCAAAGGAUUGCAAGGGGACAGCCCUGGCAAGAAGCUCCUCCCUGCUCAUUAGCCUCCAUAAAACAGGAACUCACCUUGGCUGGCUGUGCCUGGAGUGCCAUCC
This is a long non-coding RNA of Colius striatus (speckled mousebird), 327 nucleotides long. RefSeq lists it as uncharacterized. The record is from RefSeq and is a predicted model, not a curated record. The transcript has 3 exons. NCBI's taxonomy places the organism in Eukaryota, Metazoa, Chordata, Aves, Coliiformes, Coliidae.